Molecule: long non-coding RNA, 1987 nt
Organism: Carassius gibelio (silver crucian carp)
Lineage: Eukaryota; Metazoa; Chordata; Actinopteri; Cypriniformes; Cyprinidae
Exons: 3
Source: RefSeq, a predicted model, not a curated record
GAUGUGUUGUUUGUAUCCAUGUGAAGUGCAGGAGGGUGAGAGUUAUUAACCUUUCCACCGCGAUGGCCACCAGCGUGAAGACCGACGCCGAGACUGAAGCUCCCUGGACGAGUCCACUCAUUUUACAGAUGACCACAUCAAACGGCCAGCCUGCGCCACACAUAAUGAGAGAAAACAUCAUCACAGUGAUCCAGUGACCUGCUGCGAGAUGAAUUCAUGACGUCUGAUGUACAGUGCACCAGGGGAAGUGCUCUGGACAGAUCUAUUUCUGUGGUGAAUAAACCUCUCUUCCCAUGAUACUAACGCCAACGGUGUGAUCAAAGAAAACAUGAGAGAUGACAUUAAAAUAGAAGAAGUUUGAAAGUGGCCGGAGAUUCACUUUAUUGUGAUGUUUUGUUUACACGCACGAUGAAGCACACCAGGAUGUUUCCCAGCAUGCACAGCGAGAAGAUGAGCACGUAGGCCAGGAUGAUGACGGAGGCCACGGCGAGGGAAUGCUGGUAGAACGACUUCUGUGAGGCGGCUGUGAAAUUGUUCUUUACGGACUGUUUCUCCUCCGGUUCGAGUCUUUCCAUGCAUCAGGAUGAAUGAUGCAUCUGACUCAGGCAGAAUCCAUGGUGUGUGGGUCUCUGGAGAGAUGGAGAGAUGGAGAGCUGGCGGCUAUAUCAGCACAAACACGCCGGACGCUUCUGAACUCAUUCAUCCGCCCUUGUGUUAAACCCAUCUGCACUGAACGCACAUCAUUCAUUCGCUGCAUUGUUUAGAGAGACCUGCGGAGCGCCACCAACUUUCUGCAGCUUUUGUGUAUAUCAGUGUGAUUUCUGCUAAUGAUGAGUCUGAAUAUAUCCAGCCUGGAAGGUCAAAUAUUUAGUAGGGAAUAUAAAAUGAAUGAAAGUGGGUGGACAAACAGUGACUAGUUCAUCUCAUGUGAGAUUCCAGUGCAGUCAGAAGCAGGUUUAUACCACAUGUCAUUUAUAUGAUCUUUAAUUGCAUGUCUUAUUUUAUUAUUUUAUUUCAACUAAUUGCUAGUUUUCAAGAAUAUAGUAAAAAAAAAAAAGACUAAAGCACAAAAAAAAAAAAAAAAAAAACACUACUCCAAACAAAAUAAAUAUUAACCGCAUUAAAAACCUUAAACUUAUUUUAUUAGUUAGUUGGCCAUUCAACAUUUUUCCUUUUCAUUUAGUGCAUAAAGUACUUAAAAAAGAUCAAACUAAUAAUAAAAAAUCCACAUUUAAACAUAAGAAACACUAAAACCAUAAAAGACGAUGUUGUGAAACAAAAACAGAAUAAAUAAAUAAAUAAAAUUUUGACAUAAAUAUAACACACCAAAACAUACAAAAACAACAACAUUGCUAAAACGUAUACAUAUUUUGAAUAUUAAUAAAAGCUAUAAUAUCAUCUCAGCGAUGUUCGAGUGUACACAUGUGCAGCACACAUUUAUUUUAUCAUGUUUUAUUUUUGAUGCACUUAAUUCAGCAGAAACUAUGGUGCAAAUGAGCUGUAAAUAUAUUUAUCAACACCAUCACUGAAAUAAACAGAUGCAUGCAAAUUGGCUGAUAUAAAACAUUAUCUUUUAAGUGUUUGUUUUUAAAUUCUUUUGCAUUGCACUCUAAAAUUAAUUAAAACGUGACUAUGUUUUUAAUUAGGAUUGGGUUUAAUCAUAUGAAGUCAUUCAGGUAUAAACACCAUGUGGUGCCGUUUUCCCAGAAAGUUUUUAUGAUUGUGUUUUUUAAUGUUUUCUUCUGGUUUGCACUUCAUAGUCCUGGUCCACAUCACAUCUCUAAUCUGACAAGAUUUCAUACAAAUGUCAUCAUCAGAAACAUUCACACCUCAUACUCUUUAAAUCACGGUUCGACUUGAGUGUAGAAGACAAAAAACACUUGGAAAUAUAUAAUGCAUGUUCUCUGGCCCUGUUUGGUCAAUCACUGCUGUAAUAUUGAUUUCAUGAACAUUAAAACAAAAUGCAAAAGAGUUAACACGCGGUGCA